This 453-nucleotide ribosomal RNA is filed under the name uncultured bacterium. RNAcentral describes it as "bacterial SSU rRNA". It matches the Rfam family "Bacterial small subunit ribosomal RNA", at positions 28 to 477 of the family's 1533-position model. The record is from RNAcentral.
GAUGAACGCUAGCGGCAGGCUUAAUACAUGCAAGUCGAGGGGCAACAGGGGUAGCAAUACCUGCUGGCGACCGGCAAACGGGUGCGGAACACGUACAGAACCUUCCUUUAAGCGGGGGAUAGCCCAUAGAAAUGUGGAUUAAUACCCCAUAGUAAUGCUGGCUGGCAUCAACUGGUAUUUAAAGAUUUAUCACUUAAAGAUGGCUGUGCGGCUGAUUAGGUAGUUGGUGGGGUAACGGCCCACCAAGCCAGCGAUCAGUAACUGGUGUGAGAGCACGACCAGUCACACGGGCACUGAGACACGGGCCCGACUCCUACGGGAGCAGCAGUAAGGAAUAUUGGUCAAUGGACGCAAGUCUGAACCAGCCAUGCCGCGUGAAGGAUGAAGGCCCUCUGGGUUGUAAACUUCUUUUAUCUGGGAAGAAACCACUUCUUUAUAGAGGUGUUGACGGUA